Molecule: long non-coding RNA, 3306 nt
Organism: Sarcophilus harrisii (Tasmanian devil)
Lineage: Eukaryota; Metazoa; Chordata; Mammalia; Dasyuromorphia; Dasyuridae
Source: Ensembl
UGGAAAUGCACCAAACCACAUAAAAUUACUGUUAUUAAGUAUUUUUAUUUAAAAGCUUGUUGUAUGAAUAAGGUUUGAGUGGAUAUCUAUUCUGAAGCUACUCCCAUGAAAUAAUGUUCUAGUACUUGUGAGGACUUGUAAACUCAAUUUCUGUUAGUUAACUUUAUAAAGGUUGUCCCUUCUGUAUAUUUCUUACCUAACCUAUACCUUUUACAAAAGAGGCUUGAGGUAGGACAGACAAAAGCCCAUUUGAAUGUGAUGACUGACCUAAGGCUUUGUAUAGUCUAGGUUUUGGAGAAAUUUAGAUUCAUUAUUUGUUGUUAAAGUAGCAUUGUGAUAUUUAGGUAUUAUUCCAAGUGCUUUAUCAACAGUGCUUUAUGUAACACUGUAUUUGUGUGGUUCUUAGAUAUAAUGAAGGUUUAUUUUAUACAUGAGAUAAGAAGAGUAAUUCAAAUUGAUGAGGAAAAAGAAGAGUUCUAAGGAAAACAUGUUAAGAAUACUAAAUCAGAUUUUUUUUUAUCAUGAAAAAAUAUAUUAAAUAACAGUAUAAGUAGUUGAUUACCUGUAAUUUCUAUGAGGUUUCUUUGUGGUGCCUUAAGCCAUUAGCGUCACAGUGAACUCUCUUGAAUUGAUUUUAUUGGAUUUCAAUAGCUUUAAAAUAUAAUUUAAUUUUUGCAUCUGUUUGAAGUGUAGGCUUAGAAUUUUUUGUCGAGUGUGGUGUUGUAUUUGAGUGUAUUUGUGUUGAGAGUGUAUUUAAAUGUUAAAAAUGUAACUGAAUUAUUUGUGACAUUUCUUUAGAUCAUUUGAUUUAUUUUUCCUAGCCUAAAGUUUUAAAAACAUUUUGUAUGCUAAGAAGUAAUUCCUAUUAUCUUUGAGAUGUAUAUGUACAUUUUGACUUGCUUGAAGGUAAAAACAUCACAACUGCUUUCUAGUAGAAAAAGAAUUUCAUGAAAUGAACCUUUGCUUUCAUUUGAAAAGAAUAUAUUUUGAGUGUCAAACAAAUCAAUCAAUAAAUAUUUAUUGUGCCAUGUGCUAGGAAUAUUGUUAGGCACUGGGGAUUCAAAUAUAGAGAAUGAAAAGUCCCAACUGUCAAGAAAAAAUGCAUCUCAUCCAGAAAUCCAAAUAUAGUAGUUAUUAUUGUUGAGGCUCUGAAUGGUAAUGAUUCUUUUUUAGUGAUUUGAUAGAGAACAAUAAUUUAGACUUGUGUCAUUUAAAAAAAUUUUUUUUCAUCUAUGAAUUAUUUGAAUUUUUAAAAUUAUGGUAUUUACAUUUUACUAAAGGAAAUGUUUUGCCUAAGGUGAUGAAAAUAUAAAAGUUUAGGUUUUUAAAAACUGUUGUCCAACCUAUUCCUUAAAAGAAUUUUUAUUCUGUAAGUGAUAGUGUUGUUUUGCUGUUCAGUGAUUUCAAUUUGUGUUUGACUCUUCUUGAGAUACCAUUUGGGAUUUUCUUGGCAAAGAUAUGAAGUAGUUUGCCAUUUCUUUCCUCAGUUUGACAGAUAAGGAAACUGAGGCAAAUAGAGUUAAGUGACUUGCCCAGAGUUAUAUAAGUAGUUUCUAAGGCUAUAUUUGAACUCAGGAACAUGACUCUUCCAGACGUCAGGAUCUGCAUUCUUUCCAGUAUAUCAACUAACUGUUCUUAUAACGAUAGUUGUUACAGUAAUUAAAUUUGAUUCCUACUAAUAUGUCAAUAUAUUAUAAUAAUUCUGAUUUAAACAGAGAGAAACAUACUCCUUAAAAUAAGAUUCAGAAAUUGCUAAUAGUUUUAACUUAGGCAAUAUAAUGCAUUGACUAUAUCUUAAAAACUCUGAAAAUAGCAGCUAAUCACAGUUUCCUAUUGUAAAAAAUUUCACUUGAGGCUCAAAGCAGUUAUGUAAUAAUCUAUAAAUAGGGGAUUAUGUAUUUAGUAAACAUGAAGAAAAGGAAUACAAUUUUAAAAGCAUACAGAUACCAAAUUAAAAUCAAAUUAUGAAUUUAGCUUAGUCAUUGUAAUAUAUAAACCUUCAUGUUUAUUGUUAAGUCAAUCUGUAAUGUGUGGAAAGAGAAAAAAAUGUUUAUCAUGUUUAUUUAUGGCCAAAUUUAAAUGUUAAAAUACUGCAAUUUUUAAAAAGUUUCCUAUUUUAUGGUUUUUUCUUGCUAUUAAUAUUAAAAUAUGUAAAUAGGAUACAUAAAAAGUGAAGAAAACUUCAAAGCCUGUAAGAAGGUUUUUGUUGCAUACUAGUUAAUCAAACUGAUGCUGUAGUCAGAGGGGGAAAGAACCUAAGAGCUAACUGUAAAUAUUGCAUAGCUAAUAAACUGCCAAGAACAAGUAAUCAUCUCUGUUUUAAAAAAAAAUGCAAGUUCACAUGGAAAACCAUCUUUUUAAAUGCAUGAUAAACCAAUCUUUUCAAUGUGAUCUGUAUACUGUGGUACUGAAUAUUUGGUGCAAAUUUUAGAGUAUAUGGUAAAAUGGUUCUACAACAUAUUACAGCUUACCAAAAAUAUGUCUGUUUAAUGAAAUAAUUUUUUUUGCUACUACAAAAACCCAUUUGUGGUCAUUUGAAAGUUCUGAUUUCCUUUCCCUCUCCUUCACUGAAGACCCAAAUUUGAAGAGGAAUUCUGCAUUUAUCUAUCCACACUUCAGACUGAGUUUCAUGACAAUAGACCUGACAUAUUUCUCACCCCUACUUGAAAACCUCUAGAGAAGAGGAAUAUACUUCCUGAAGAAGUUCAUUUCCACUUUUAGAAAGCAAAUUAUAGGAAUCUUUGUCUGACUGUAAGCCUAAAUCUGCCUCUGUAAUUUUCACCUGUGCUCAACUGUUGGUGAAAAGUGCAGGAAAUCUAAUUUUACUUUCAUAUGAUAGCCCAUCAAAUACAUGAAAACUUUAUUAAAUGCCCAACCUGAGUCUCUGGGCUCAACAUGCCCAUUUUUUUCUCAUAUUGUGUGAUCUUGAGACCUUUUAUUGUUGUGGUUGCCCCUUCCUGGACUGUAGUACCCAUGCACACAAUACUAAAUUCUGAUGAAGGUAGAGUAACAUUGAAAUGACCAUUCUUUCUAGAGGCUGCUCCUCUUAAUGUAGUCCAAGAUCAAAGUAGUUCUUUUGGCUGUCUUAUCACCUUGCUGACUCAUUUAACAUUGCAAUCCAUGAAAAUCCCCAAAGCUUCUUUCAGACAAACUUCUAUCUAACUACAGCUUAUCCUGCAAAUGGAAAGUUGAUUUUUUUUUUUUAACCAAACAUAUUUCAUUUCAUCUGAUUAGGUGCAGCCUGGUUUUUUUUUACCCCCUAUAUUGUCAAGAUCUUUUGGAUCUUGACUGCAUUCCAGAGUCUUA